Long non-coding RNA from Cephus cinctus (wheat stem sawfly), 316 nucleotides. RefSeq lists it as uncharacterized. The transcript is spliced from 2 exons. Lineage: Eukaryota; Metazoa; Arthropoda; Insecta; Hymenoptera; Cephidae. The record is from RefSeq and is a predicted model, not a curated record.
AGAUAUCUUGUAUGAGUAUCUAUAUGAUGACUAUUCAGUUUCUGGGAUGUAUGUAUGUACGUACAUAUAUACAUUAGUAGUGACAUCGCAAGAAUAAACUAGAAAUAACAGUAGCGGCUAGUGCAAAGUUAUAGUAUAUUGUAAUAAAUACACCAGUAUAAGUAAUUGUAAAGAAACAAAUAGUCUAUAUUGCCGCAUCUGUAUAUGCGAUAAUAACGAGAACGAGAUACGAUCUCUGCCAAUUAUUGUAGGAGUUUCGAUAAGAUUCCUUUGGAAUUUCUAAAUAAAAAUAGAAGCCGUGACGGUUAGUCGAUUU